AUUAAAAAUUGCCAGCAUUCAAUUGGGCACUUUAGUGAGACUACCGGUGACAAACCGGAGGAAGGUGGGGACGACGUCAAAUCAUCAUGCCCCUUAUGACCUGGGCUACACACGUGCUACAAUGGAUGGUACAACGAGUCGGGAAACCGCGAGGUUUAGCUAAUCUCUUAAAACCAUUCUCAGUUCGGACUGUAGGCUGCAACUCGCCUACACGAAGUCGGAAUCGCUAGUAAUCGCGGAUCAGCAUGCCGCGGUGAAUACGUUCCCGGGCCUUGUACACACCGCCCGUCACACCAUGAGAGUUUGUAACACCCAAAGCCGGUGGGGUAACCUUUUAGGAGCUAGCCGUCUAAGGUGGGACAGAUGAUUAGGGUGAAGUCGUAACAAGAGCCUGCCC
RNAcentral lists this ribosomal RNA (397 nucleotides) under Pediococcus acidilactici. Its description in RNAcentral is "bacterial SSU rRNA". It matches the Rfam family "Bacterial small subunit ribosomal RNA", at positions 1107 to 1505 of the family's 1533-position model. The record is from RNAcentral. Lineage: Bacteria; Bacillati; Bacillota; Bacilli; Lactobacillales; Lactobacillaceae.